This 181-nucleotide ribosomal RNA is filed under the name Orectolobus japonicus (Japanese wobbegong). Its description in RNAcentral is "partial 12S rRNA". The record is from RNAcentral. Lineage: Eukaryota; Metazoa; Chordata; Chondrichthyes; Orectolobiformes; Orectolobidae.
CACCGCGGUUAUACGAGUAACCCAAAUUAAUAUUUCACGGCGUAAAGAGUGAUUUAAGGAAGAACUACAAUAACUAAAGUUAAGACCUCAUCCAACCGUCAUACGUUUCCAUGAAUAGAAAAAUCAACAACGAAAGUGACUUUAUUUAAUCAGCUAUCUUGAUGUCACGACAGUUAGAUCC